RNAcentral lists this ribosomal RNA (606 nucleotides) under uncultured bacterium. Its description in RNAcentral is "bacterial SSU rRNA". It matches the Rfam family "Bacterial small subunit ribosomal RNA", at positions 248 to 854 of the family's 1533-position model. The record is from RNAcentral.
GAUGGAGAGGUAACGGCUCACCAUGGCUACGAUGUUUAGGGGAACUGAGAGGUUGACCCCCCACACUGGAACUGAGACACGGUCCAGACUCCUACGGGAGGCAGCAGUGAGGAAUAUUGGACAAUGGAUGGAAAUCUGAUCCAGCCAUGCCGCGUGCAGGAAGAAGGUCCUAUGGAUUGUAAACUGCUUUAGUGCGGGAGCAAUAAGGUCCACGAGUGGACCGAUGAGAGUACCGCAAGAAUAAGCAUCGGCUAACUCCGUGCCAGCAGCCGCGGUAAUACGGGGGAUGCAAGCGUUAUCCGGAUUUAUUGGGUUUAAAGGGUGCGUAGGCGGUCUGUCAAGUCGGCGGUGAAAACAGCAUGCUAAACAUGAUGCUUGCCGUCGAGACUGGUGGGCUUGAAUGUGGAUGAUGCCGGCGGAAUGUGUAAAGUAGCGGUGAAAUGCAUAGAUAUUACACAGAAGGUCGAUUGCGAAAGCAGCUGGCAAAGGCACUAUUGACGCUGAGGCACGAAAGUGCGGGGAUCGAACAGGAUUAGAUACCCUGGUAGUCCGCACAGUAAACGAUGAUAACUAACUGUCGGCGAUACACAGUCGGUGGUAAAGAGA